GUAGGUGGCAAGCGUUGUCCGGAAUUAUUGGGACGUAAAGCGCGCGCAGGCGGGUCCUUUAAAGGUCUGAUGUGAAAGCCCACGGGCUCAACCGUGGAGGGUCAUUGGAAACUGGGGGACUUGAGUACAGAAGAGGAAAGCGGAAUUCCAAGUGUAGCGGUGAAAUGCGUAGAGAUUUGGAGGAACACCAGUGGCGAAGGCGGCUUUCUGGUCUGUAACUGACGCUGAGGCGCGAAAGCGUGGGGAGCAAACAGGAUUAGAUACCCUGGUAGUCCACGCCGUAAACGAUGAGUGCUAAGUGUUAGGGGGUUUCCGCCCCUUAGUGCUGCAGCUAACGCAUUAAGCACUCCGCCUGGGGAGUACGGCCGCAAAGGCUG
Molecule: ribosomal RNA, 377 nt
Filed under: uncultured organism
Description: partial 16S ribosomal RNA
Rfam family: Bacterial small subunit ribosomal RNA
Source: RNAcentral